AUAUCAAUAAGCGGAGGAAAAGAAACAAAAAUGGAUUCUCUGAAUAGCGGCGAGCGAAAAGAGAAAAGUUCAAACUGUGAAUCCGGCUAUGUCGGAAUUGUGCAGGAAAAAUCAAAGGGUUUGUCUGAGUCAUAAGAGCUUUGGAAUAAGCCAUCCCAGAGGGUGAAAAUCCCGUUGUGAUUCAGUUCAGCCUGCUGAUUUUCUAACUUGAGUCACACUUCUUGAGAGUGAAGUGCAAAUCGGUGGUAACUUUCAUCGAAAACUAAAUACUGCUGAGAGACCGAUAGCGCACAAGUA
RNAcentral lists this ribosomal RNA (297 nucleotides) under uncultured eukaryote. Its description in RNAcentral is "partial large subunit ribosomal RNA". It matches the Rfam family "Eukaryotic large subunit ribosomal RNA", at positions 40 to 350 of the family's 3401-position model. The record is from RNAcentral.